UUGUGUAGGUUAACUCACCAGCCUUUCUAAAAAGCUGAGACAUGGGGUUCCUGGGGUUUUCUGUGCAUUUUCUGAGCUAAACGUGUCUACUAAUGUAUUUCUGCUGGCUAGUAAAAUUUGAGUACUACAUCAUUUGAACAAAUAUUUUAAAAUCAGUUCUUUAACAUUCAACAACUACAACUAGCAUGAGGCCAUGACAGGAGGUAAGACGCUGUAGGCUACUUGGUUAAAAUGACAAGGUGUUCAUAUUUUAUGAUCCACUAUUGUAGCAAAUACCCAUUUAGCUGAGAACACGAACAAGAAAACCCAGUGACAUGUUUCAGCUUUUCAUAGUAGCUGCGGAUGAAUAAUAGAGUGAGUGGUGAAGAAAGUCGCAGCCGGCCAGAGAUACAGAUAUUUUUUCUCUCUUAAAUUGGAAUACCAAAACAGAGCAAAUUGUCGGGAAGUAAUGGCCUUAAAUACAGCAGGGCGUCAUAAAUACAAGUACUGUAAGUUAACUGAGGUAGUUGUUUGCUAACACGUUAAGUUAGCUAACAUUACAACAACUUGAUAGGCGGAGGCUUACUGUGAGUUUUUUUGUCCCAUAGUGCUGAAAAAUCAGUUAAUGCAGUUAUGUGUCAUAUUUGCUGGCAGACAAGUGACCAUACCUGUCACCACCACCACCAAUACCUGGGCAAACAGGGACAAUAUGUGGGUGUUUGAAUUAAUUUGAAUGGGACGCUCUUCAGGCUAUACCUACUUAGCUAGUGAUUAAGGGUGAUAUAUAUUAAAAAUCUGGCUUUGCUUGACUUUAUUAAUUGAAAACUCCUAGCAUACCUUUUCUGAAAUAAAAGAUAGUAAAAGAGCAAACUGUUUUGACACGCUGUCAGCUGAAAUGGAGACCACCACUGAACUCCAGUCCAGGUUUUCUAAGCAACACCUGCUAACCGAGAAAUUCAAUUAAGGACUCCUCUUCCCACUAGGAGCCGGUCUCCAGGGCAGAUCUUCCGGGCGACUCGCCCUGUAAGAAAUUAGAAAAUGCUACAAUAAAACCCGAAAAACUGAAAAAAUGUGGCAACUUUAAUAAUGAAAGCUCUCACGCUAUCCACCGUAAACACACACGUCCCUUUAGUUGGAAGUCACCGAAAGACAGCGAAGUACCACAGAUCAUUCAUGGAAAGCCAUCUUCUAUAUUAAAGAUGCCACUGCUAGUACAACACAAGCAACCAAAAGCUGAUGCCUGGUCGCCAGCCUGGGAACCACUUUUAAAAAAAUCAGAUGGCGGUAGAGUGAGCAUUGGCCAGAGGCGAUAACUCCUCAGCGGCUUCAGCUUCAGGACAGAUUGUUCAACAGGAAGUUCCAUCUGUUGGGCGAGCAGGCCUGUCUGUUCCGGAGCAUGGCAACGUGAUGGUCGCCAGGGGCGAUUGGAGACGCUACCGUCCCGGUGGCUUGUGGCUCGACCUCCACCUCCACCAUUGCCUUGUCUGUGAUCCCCGUGACACUCUCACACUUGCUUGACUGUUUUUACUUAUUUAUUCAUACAUCUGGGGAAAAUAGAAAAACACGUAUGCUUCAUUUGCAUUAAAUACAGAUAAUAUAGUUUAGUUUAUGAAGGAAGGAAUUUAGUGGUGUGAUGUUGUUUUUAACCUUAUACAGCAUUAUUGAUAGACUGCAGUUGAAAAGCAGUUUAUAAAGUUUGGGAUAGUGAAGCACAUAUACUUUGUGAACAAGUUUUAAUCUCUUAAGUGAUUGUAUGAAAUUAAAUACAAAUCACACUACUUUUCAUAUUUACAUUGUAUGUCCACUCUGUGUUGAAAACAUGCUUUAAUAGGUCAGAUUUGUUUGCUUAUUUUCUUGCAGUCAGGAGUAAAUGAUGCACCAAACAGAUGUAGCAUUUUCUCUCAACAAGGAAAUAUUUUAUUCAUGAUUUACAUGAAUGAUAAAUCUUCAGAAAGUCUUAGCGCUGAUGGGCAUACACAAUUUAACAUCUGUCUUCCUCAGAAUAAUUAAUCGCAUACCAGAACACUUGGGACUCAGUGUUGGAUUUUUCCUUUCACUUUACUUGAUCUAAUUACUUCUUUAAAAGCAAAGCAUUCUUUUAAGAAGACUGGAAUGAUAAACAUACCAGCUAUAUACUCCGCUAAAGAAAAAUCCAGGAAAGAUGCCGGAAAAUCGUGUUCUUGUAAAAACUGCUUUUUAGCCCUAUCACUGGGAAACCAUGCACACCCCACCAUACCUAAGACAGGGAAAUGUGGCCUUACAUUAUAAUUAUAAUUUGUAAUUCCCAAUUGAAUAUUUCCUUAAUAUCUCCCGAGUGAAUUGCUCUGGCCUUAUCACCACAGUGUGAAUGUACAGCACAAGGGCAUCUGUGUGCAUAUCAAUGAGAGAUCACCAGAUCAUUUUCAUUGACGACAGAGCCAUCAAAGGUCAUAGCCAUCCAAAUGACCUAACCUUGCAAUGUAACACCUGGGUGUAAAAGUGGACUCAUCCUAUCUACUGGGAUGGAUGUAAUGUACCUCUAAUGUAUAAAGUGCGGAAAUAAAAUAAGAGUUAUAGGUUGGUGGAGGAGGUUCAGUGUGGGCUAGAGAAUACUGUAACUGAAUAGGAUGAAAUAGCUGUGUUGGUAUCACCUGAGGUGACAGACUAUUGCCAAAGUGCUGUAUUUGU
Molecule: long non-coding RNA, 2646 nt
Organism: Siniperca chuatsi (mandarin fish)
Lineage: Eukaryota; Metazoa; Chordata; Actinopteri; Centrarchiformes; Sinipercidae
Exons: 5
Source: RefSeq, a predicted model, not a curated record